RNAcentral lists this ribosomal RNA (592 nucleotides) under uncultured eukaryote. Its description in RNAcentral is "eukaryotic LSU rRNA". It matches the Rfam family "Eukaryotic large subunit ribosomal RNA", at positions 987 to 1578 of the family's 3401-position model. The record is from RNAcentral.
AUCGCGGAAACGUUUUGACCGGUAGAGCGAACGACUAGAGGUACCGGGGCCGUAACGGCCUCGACCUAUUCUCGAACUCCGAACGGGCAAGGAGCCGGGGUCGCCCGAUCGGACCCCGGACGUGAAGUCGACGAUGGUCGGUGGGCUGGUUUUGGUAAGCAGAACGGGCGAUUCGGGAUGAACCGGAAGCGGGGAGAAAGGGCCCGAGAUUGCGUCGACGCGGAUCCCGAAAAGGGCGUCGAUCCGUCGCGACAGCGGGACGGUGGUCAUGGAAGUCGAAAUCCGCUAAGAAGCGUGUAAAAACGUACCCGCCCAACGGAUCGGCCCCGAAAAUUGAUGGCGCUCGAACGCAACCCUCGAACCCCGCCGACGGAGGCUAGGGGAGGCCCCGUCGAGUAGGCGGACGCGCGGGUCGCUUCGACGCUCCCGCGCGAGCGGGGGCGGAGCGGCCCGUGGUGCAGAUCUUGGUGGUAGUAGCGAUCACCCAGGCGAGAACCCUGAGGGCCGAAGUGGAGAAGGGUUUCUCGAGAACGGCACUCGCUCGAGAGUUAGUCGAUCCUAAGCUGCCGGCGGCAGCCACGAAACGGUCGAG